AUUGUUACACUAGAACAACGGAGGUAACGGACAAGCGCGAAGCAAUGUCUCCUUGCGCUAGCGCAUUUCUUGCACUUACGGGCACACGACGAAGAAGUCAAACUACAACACCAUGAAGCUCCUUCGCAGCAUCGCGUUAAUUUUCUGCGUAACUACGGCAACGCAUGCAAAUUGGGAGAGAGUGAGGCGUGUGAAGCCUCAAUUACUGGGAGGAUGGAGGCAGCACAAAUUUCCGUCUGCAUCGAACAAGUUUAUCCAGCUUGCCUAUCAAGCCUUCUCUGCCGCUCUCGGAGAACCUCACCUUCACGGAGUAAAUUUAAGAGUUUCGAAAGCUGCCACACAGGUCGUUGCGGGGCUCAACUAUAAGCUCGAAGUAGAACAGGCUCAAGUGAGCUGCGGUUUUCAGCAUCCGCAACCGCAUGGAACGUGGAAUCAUCCUCAAAGUCUCGUCUGUUUCACGGGAAAGGUUGUCGCUGUGUGCAACAUUGAAUUCUUUCAUUCACUUAGAGCACCGGUGCCAAAUAUUACAUCAUUUGAGUGCAAGCAACCGUCGUUCGAAGAAUAAAUGCAAUGCUCAGUGAAUGCAGGUAAACUGACAAAGCGGAAUGUUGUUCUGGACCCAGGCACCUUUUGUCGAUGCUACUUUGCUUGACUAAAAUAAAACGAAACUAUCCUUUGUCUUAAA
Dermacentor albipictus is the source of this 685-nucleotide long non-coding RNA. RefSeq lists it as uncharacterized. The record is from RefSeq and is a predicted model, not a curated record. NCBI's taxonomy places the organism in Eukaryota, Metazoa, Arthropoda, Arachnida, Ixodida, Ixodidae.